RNAcentral lists this ribosomal RNA (253 nucleotides) under uncultured bacterium. RNAcentral's name for it is "partial 16S ribosomal RNA". It matches the Rfam family "Bacterial small subunit ribosomal RNA", at positions 524 to 776 of the family's 1533-position model. The record is from RNAcentral.
UACGUAGGGUGCAAGCGUUGUCCGGAAUUAUUGGGCGUAAAGAGCUCGUAGGCGGUCUGUCGCGUCGGAUGUGAAAACUCGGGGCUCAACCCCGAGCCUGCAUUCGAUACGGGCAGACUAGAGUUCGGUAGGGGAGACUGGAAUUCCUGGUGUAGCGGUGAAAUGCGUAGAUAUUGGGAGGAACACCGGUGGCGAAGGCGGCCCUCUGGACCGGUACUGACGCUGAUGCGCGAAAGCGUGGGGAGCAAACGGG